UAGAGUUUGAUCCUGGCUCAGGAUGAACGCUAGCGACAGGCUUAACACAUGCAAGUCGAGGGGCAGCGGGUAGAUGAGCUUGCUCAUUUAUGCCGGCGACCGGCGCACGGGUGAGUAACACGUAUGCAACCUGCCCGUCUCAGGGGGAUAAUCGUCGGAAACGGCGUCUAAUACCCCGUAUGAAGCUGGACGGCAUCGUCUGGUUUUGAAAGAAUAUCGGAGACGGAUGGGCAUGCGGCGCAUUAGCUGGUUGGCGGGGUAACGGCCCACCAAGGCAACGAUGCGUAGGGGUUCUGAGAGGAAGGUCCCCCACACUGGUACUGAGACACGGACCAGACUCCUACGGGAGGCAGCAGUGAGGAAUAUUGGUCAAUGGGCGAGAGCCUGAACCAGCCAAGUCGCGUGAGGGAGUACUGCCCUAUGGGUUGUAAACCUCUUUUGUCGGGGAGCAAAAGCCGGACGUGUCCGUCUGUGAGAGUACCCGAAGAAAAAGCAUCGGCUAACUCCGUGCCAGCAGCCGCGGUAAUACGGAGGAUGCGAGCGUUAUCCGGAUUUAUUGGGUUUAAAGGGUGCGCAGGCGGAUUUUUAAGUCAGCGGUCAAAUCGUGGGGCUCAACCCCAUCCAGCCGUUGAAACUGGGGAUCUAGAGUGUGCGAGAGGUAUGCGGAAUGCGUGGUGUAGCGGUGAAAUGCAUAGAUAUCACGCAGAACCCCGAUUGCGAAGGCAGCAUACCGGUGCACAACUGACGCUCAGGCACGAAAGCGUGGGUAUCGAACAGGAUUAGAUACCCUGGUAGUCCACACAGUAAACGAUGAAUACUAAUUGUUCGGGGAGAAUGAUCCCUGAGUGAUACAGCGAAAGCGUUAAGUAUUCCACCUGGGGAGUACGCCGGCAACGGUGAAACUCAAAGGAAUUG
This 915-nucleotide ribosomal RNA is filed under the name uncultured bacterium. Its description in RNAcentral is "bacterial SSU rRNA". It matches the Rfam family "Bacterial small subunit ribosomal RNA", at positions 1 to 912 of the family's 1533-position model. The record is from RNAcentral.